RNAcentral lists this non-coding RNA (180 nucleotides) under Clostridia bacterium. Its description in RNAcentral is "6S RNA". It matches the Rfam family "6S / SsrS RNA". From Rfam's summary of the family: E. coli 6S RNA was the first non coding RNA to be sequenced, but its function was unknown until recently. It consists of 184 nucleotides that fold into an extended hairpin structure with a large single-stranded internal bulge. The record is from RNAcentral. Lineage: Bacteria; Bacillati; Bacillota; Clostridia.
UACAGUCUGCGGUGUUUGUGGUAUGGGAAAUUCGUAAUCCACAAUGUUUAAAAGGGAGCGCUCUGUUCGCCGAAAUAGUUAAGGUCUGUUAAUUCGGAAACAACGACGUCCGGCUUCGGCGCACCCACCUGCGAGACGCGGGUUAACACUUUUUCAUAUCACGGCACAGGCGGAUUUUUU